RNAcentral lists this ribosomal RNA (496 nucleotides) under uncultured bacterium. RNAcentral's name for it is "partial 16S ribosomal RNA". It matches the Rfam family "Bacterial small subunit ribosomal RNA", at positions 29 to 507 of the family's 1533-position model. The record is from RNAcentral.
AUGAACGCUGGCGGCGUGCCUAAUACAUGCAAGUCGAGCGAACGGACGAGAAGCUUGCUUUUCUGAUGUUAGCGGCGGACGGGUGAGUAACACGUGGAUAACCUACCUAUAAGACUGGGAUAACUUCGGGAAACCGGAGCUAAUACCGGAUAAUAUUUUGAACCGCAUGGUUCAAAAGUGAAAGACGGUCUUGCUGUCACUUAUAGAUGGAUCCGCGCUGCAUUAGCUAGUUGGUAAGGUAACGGCUUACCAAGGCAACGAUGCAUAGCCGACCUGAGAGGGUGAUCGGCCACACUGGAACUGAGACACGGUCCAGACUCCUACGGGAGGCAGCAGUAGGGAAUCUUCCGCAAUGGGCGAAAGCCUGACGGAGCAACGCCGCGUGAGUGAUGAAGGUCUUCGGAUCGUAAAACUCUGUUAUUAGGGAAGAACAGAUGUGUAAGUAACUGUGCACAUCUUGACGGUACCUAAUCAGAAAGCCACGGCUAACUACGUG